AGCAGUCGCCGCGGUAAUACGGAGGGCGCGAGCGUUACCCGGAUUUACUGGGCGUAAAGGGCGUGUAGGCGGCCUGGGGCGUCCCAUGUGAAAGGCCACGGCUCAACCGUGGAGGAGCGUGGGAUACGCUCAGGCUAGAGGGUGGGAGAGGGUGGUGGAAUUCCCGGAGUAGCGGUGAAAUGCGCAGAUACCGGGAGGAACGCCGAUGGCGAAGGCAGCCACCUGGUCCACUUCUGACGCUGAGGCGCGAAAGCGUGGGGAGCGAACAGGAUUAGAUACCCCUGUAGUCCCUGUCUCUUAUAC
This 303-nucleotide ribosomal RNA is filed under the name uncultured bacterium. RNAcentral describes it as "partial 16S ribosomal RNA". It matches the Rfam family "Bacterial small subunit ribosomal RNA", at positions 507 to 807 of the family's 1533-position model. The record is from RNAcentral.